RNAcentral lists this long non-coding RNA (533 nucleotides) under Anser brachyrhynchus (Pink-footed goose). Its description in RNAcentral is "lncRNA (ENSABRG00000010916.1)". The record is from RNAcentral. Lineage: Eukaryota; Metazoa; Chordata; Aves; Anseriformes; Anatidae.
CAAACACUCCCACGGGUCAGUGAAGAUCUCCUCUUUCUCUUUCUCUCUGUCGUACUUAUGAAAUGAACCUCAUAUGUCCUAGUAGUCCGUGUGUGCUGCAAUAUGAAAGGCUGACACUUCACCCAGUGUGCUAUUUUCCAUCCUGCCAGCCAGGCACAGAAAUAGUAAGUAUGAUUUCCUCUGACUUUAAAAAGCUGGGUCCAGAAUAAGGUGGAGAUUCAGCUCACUCUCAUGUGGACUAGUGGUUAAAGCAGUACACCAAGAAAUCUUGAGGAAUAUUCUCAGCAGACAUUGCCAUACAACCUUUGAAAUAUAUGUGUUUCUAACACUGAGCAGUGCCUAAAGAAUUGUAGCUAACACAUGGUUGUUUAACUUUCAUGAAACCCCCUAGGCACACACUAAUAUUUUUACUUUCCUUUUACCAGGAUGCAAACUUGAUGAUCUUGGAGGUCUUUUCCAACCUUAAUGAUUCUAUGAUUCUAUGAUAUAUGUAACUUCUGAUUAGCUUACAGAAGAAUGGGAGGUGAAGUGGC